GAAGGUCUGGGCUGAGGUGUUCUUCUACCUUGCAGAGAACAAUGUCAUGUUUGAAGGCAUCCUCCUCAAGCCCAGCAUGGUUACUCCUGGUGCAGAGUGCAAGGACAGGGCCACACCUGAGCAGGUUGCUGACUACACACUCAAGCUCCUUAGCCGAAGAAUUCCCCCAGCUGUCCCUGGAAUCAUGGUAAGCGACUCAAAACCAAUUUCAAAGAAACCAGACUGAUAUACAUUAACUCCAUUUUUCAACUGCUAAAUCGUUGAAUUUAUUUUGGCUGGUCAGUUUUUAUCCGGUGGGCAAUCUGAAGUGGAGGCGACCUUGAACUUGAACGCAAUGAACCAAUCUCCCAACCCAUGGCACGUAUCGUUUUCAUAUGCAAGAGCACUUCAAAACACUUGCCUGAAGAAGUGGGGAGGCAGACCUGAGAAUUUGAAGGCCGCUCAGGAGGCACUACUUAUCCGAGCAAAGGCCAACUCUCUUGCUCAGCUUGGCAAAUACACAGGUGAAGGGGAGUCUGAGG
This 521-nucleotide long non-coding RNA is filed under the name Ricinus communis (castor bean). Its description in RNAcentral is "long non-coding RNA (RCOM_LNC002736)". The record is from RNAcentral. Lineage: Eukaryota; Viridiplantae; Streptophyta; Magnoliopsida; Malpighiales; Euphorbiaceae.